CCUACGGGAGGCAGCAGUGAGGAAUAUUGGUCAAUGGGCGUAAGCCUGAACCAGCCAAGUCGCGUGAGGGAUGAAGGUUCUAUGGAUCGUAAACCUCUUUUAUAAGGGAAUAAAGUGUGGGACGUGUCCUGUUUUGUAUGUACCAUAUGAAUAAGGAUCGGCUAACUCCGUGCCAGCAGCCGCGGUAAUACGGAGGAUCCGAGCGUUAUCCGGAUUUAUUGGGUUUAAAGGGUGCGUAGGCGGCCUGUUAAGUCAGUUGGGAAAGUUUGUGGCUCAACCAUAGAAUUGCGGUUGAAACUGGGAGGCUUGAGUAUAGUAGAGGCAGGCGGAAUUCGUGGUGUAGCGGUGAAAUGCUUAGAUAUUACGCAGAACCCCGAUUGCGAAGGCAGCCUGCCAGGCCAUAACUGACGCUGAUGCACGAAAGCGUGGGGAUCAAACAGGAUUAGAUACCCUUGUAGUC
This 460-nucleotide ribosomal RNA is filed under the name uncultured bacterium. RNAcentral's name for it is "partial 16S ribosomal RNA". It matches the Rfam family "Bacterial small subunit ribosomal RNA", at positions 338 to 795 of the family's 1533-position model. The record is from RNAcentral.